AGUGAACGCUGGCGGUAGGCCUAACACAUGCAGGUCGAACGGCAGCACAGUAAGAGCUUGCUCUUACGGGUGGCGAGUGGCGGACGGGUGAGGAAUACAUCGGAAUCUACUUUUUCGUGGGGGAUAACGUAGGGAGACUUACGCUAAUACCGCAUACGACCUACGGGUGAAAGCAGGGGAUCUUCGGACCUUGCGCGAUUGAAUGAGCCGAUGUCGGAUUAGCUAGUUGGCGGGGUAAAGGCCCACCAAGGCGACGAUCCGUAGCUGGUCUGAGAGGAUGAUCAGCCACACUGGAACUGAGACACGGUCCAGACUCCUACGGGAGGCAGCAGUGGGGAAUAUUGGACAAUGGGCGCAAGCCUGAUCCAGCCAUACCGCGUGGGUGAAGAAGGCCUUCGGGUUGUAAAGCCCUUUUGUUGGGAAAGAAAAGCAGCAGGUUAAUACCCCGCUGUUCUGACGGUACCCAAAGAAUAAGCACCGGCUAACUUCGUG
RNAcentral lists this ribosomal RNA (492 nucleotides) under uncultured bacterium. Its description in RNAcentral is "partial 16S ribosomal RNA". It matches the Rfam family "Bacterial small subunit ribosomal RNA", at positions 29 to 507 of the family's 1533-position model. The record is from RNAcentral.